Ipomoea nil (Japanese morning glory) is the source of this 71-nucleotide transfer RNA. It matches the Rfam family "tRNA". Rfam says of the family: Transfer RNA (tRNA) molecules are approximately 80 nucleotides in length. The record is from Rfam. Lineage: Eukaryota; Viridiplantae; Streptophyta; Magnoliopsida; Solanales; Convolvulaceae.
GCACCAGUGGUUUAGUAGUUAAAUAGUACCUUGCCACGGUAUAUACCUGGGUUCGAUUCCCGGCUGUUGUA